This 7012-nucleotide long non-coding RNA is filed under the name Malus domestica (apple). RNAcentral describes it as "long non-coding RNA (MDOM_LNC006653)". Lineage: Eukaryota; Viridiplantae; Streptophyta; Magnoliopsida; Rosales; Rosaceae. The record is from RNAcentral.
UUCCACCCAUUUUUCCGACGAAUUGAACCACCUAACCACUUGGGAAACACUCUAAGACCUAUCCUCUAUCCUUCCCACCCCAAAUUUGGUGAUAAUUGGCCUCCAAAUUAGCAAAAUCGCACCGGUGGGUGCGAUGAACCCUAGCCUUCGAUUCUCUCAAUUCUGAAAUGAUUUCUUUCAAUUGCCACCACCCAUGGCAUCCUCUUGAGGUUUAGAACAAAGCCCAAGCAAUGGUUGGGACGGCGGAGUUGAUUUGAGGACGGAUUGAGCACACCCAAAACCUAGGGUUUCCGACGGGUUUUGUUGCAAUUAGAGGCCUUACCGAUCGAAUUGGCCUUGGACAUAGGUAUGAAAGUUGCUCUACUCAUUAAGAUCUUCAUUUCUGUAAAUUUUGGUAAUUUUUUGAAAUAGUUGGAUUUUCCGGCGAGCCGGGGCGGCCGACCGCCACCCGCGGCGGCGCGUGCGGCGGCAUGUGGCCAGUGGGCCGCCAAUGUUAAUUUUAGGUUAUAUUUGAUGUCUUGAGUUCAGUUAUGAUAGUGGUUUAACGUUAGUUGAUCAUUUGGACUUAAUUUCGAUACGAUUCAUGGUUAGGCUAAAAGGUGAAUUGACGAUCCAACCGUCGGAUCAUCACCAAACUUUGAUACGUAAUAGUACGUAAUAUUUGAGGAUUACAGGAACUUACAGAUCUGGAAUCCGAUUUACGGAUCUUUCGGAAUUGGAGUUAUAAGUUCAUAAUAUAAAAGGUUAACCGCCACUCGGUUUUGGAAAAUGGCGGAGAUCCAACCGUCGGAUAGUAACGAAAUUUUAGUAUGUUGUUCUAGAAGCUUAAUGUGUACCUUGGGAAGUAACGGAUUGGAAAUUUGAGUUGUGGAUCUUUCAAAUUGAGUUAUGUGGGGUUAUGACCCUACCGUCGAACUUAGUCGACGAUUGACCUUUGAUCAACGGGUCUCACAUUAUUCUUGAAUUCCUUUGUGGAUGUGUGUUAUGUGAAUUUCAUAUUCUAUGAAUAAGAGUUCUAAGACGUGGUUUGAUAACUGUUUUAGGAGCCGAGCGUUCGGGACGCCUUGGUUCUGAUGUUAGGGAGUCGUAGCGCGGACCCCAGGUGAGUGGGCAGUUUUGUUUUCGUAUUACCUAUAUACUACUGUUUUUCCCAGAAAAUGCAUUUAUAUGAAAAUAUGUUUUAAAAUGUCAUGCAUGCAAUCGAUGAGAUAUUUGAGUUGAUAAUUGAUGCAUAUAUAUAUGAAUUGACGCUGUGGACGCACAGGUGAGUUUUACAUUAUUCAUACGAUUUAUUUUAUGUGAAUUGCAUUGAAAGCUCAUAACCUGCACCCUAGGUGUUAGUGCUUAUAUUAUUCACUACACCGCACGCUCGCCUUGGAUCCAAUUAGGUGAAUGUCGUACAGACCAUGUGAGGGUUCCGACAUGCUAGUCGUAUAGAUCGCUAGAUGUGAUUCCGACUAGUGGGUGACCUUAGUUAUGCGCGCUGAUGAUUGAUGAGAGAAGCACUAGAGCUUAUUCUUACACAUUUCAUCGUACAGACUACCUUACAUAGUUCCGAGUGACGUGCAGAGUAGGGUCGUAUAGGUCACUGUGGUGACUCCGGCUGAGUGGGAUAUUGAGCUAUAGAAUCAGCCGUACAGGACCACUGUAGGGUCUCCGGUUGAUUUAUUAUUUCACCUGAUUUAUAUUGAUGCAUUCAUAUUAUAUUUUGGCAUGGCAUGGCAUAUUCUUUCGGAAAAGCGUGAAGGAUUGUGAUUUGAGCUUUUGAUGAUAUAUAUGUUUAUAUACGAUUAUAUAUUAUUUUCUGGGAAAGUAUACAGGUUUUUCAGAGAGGGGUUAUAAUGUUGUUAAAUGAAAUGUUUUCGAAAAACUUUGUUUUACUGACCCACUCAAUUUUGUUUUGGCGCCCCUCCAGGUUCUAGUAGCAAAGUUCCUUAUCGACAAGGAUUCGUGGCAUGUCCCUGUUAAGGUGGCUACUUAUGUGGUACGGUUUCUACCUACAUUGCUGUACUUGACUAUGCUCUGACAUCACUUGUGAUUUGGGUUCAUACCCACCCACAGUGCACUCUGUUAUUAGGCACCUUUAGGUUUAAAAUUAUUCGCAUCUUUCCUUAUCAUCACUUUAUGGCUUCGUCACCUUCCAGGUGGCGGCCAGCACAGCUCGAUUCCGGGUCCUAGUGGACAUUCCGGAUCGAGGUGUGUCAGUUUGGUAUCAGAGCAUAAGUUGGGCAGUAUUGCGUUCAUCACAUGCGUGAUGUGAGCAUUAUUGGUUUUGCCACCUCGUCGAUUAUGAGAAAUGUAGUAGCUCCUCUAAGUUUUGGUAGUUGGGUCGAUUUCUUGAUGUUUUAAAAGAGCACUCCGGCGAAUGUUCUCAUAAUUAAAGUGAAGAAAUUCUCUAUCAAGGAGCGAAUCAGAGGCAAGAGGAUGGCCUAAAUUAGGGUUAGCGCAUCAUUAGGUGUUAUCAGAUGCUUUGCCAAUUAAUUUUAUACUUAUCCUCUAGCCAUCAACAAUAAACUGUUGAGAUUGGAACUCCGGAAUAGUUUGAUUUCUUGACAGUACCUAUUGGAUUAUUACCUAUUGGAAUUCUUGUGAAGUCUACCUUGUUAAAACUCAAAGAUAGUCUCGUGUGACGAUGGUGCUAAAGUAAUAGCAUUUAAUGGAAAAGCACUUUGGAAAGAUCACUUUGGGUGUAUGAUUGGACUUGGAAAGUGAUAUUGUACACUCUUAGUACGAAGUAUCUUGUAUGUGUAAAGGAUGUGAGAAUCAAUAGUCAUGGUGUUGGACCUAUGCUAUGCUUAUGUGGUGUUUUAGUGGAUGGUAGCUUCACUUAAGUGGGAAGCUGUAUCCUUCCAGCCCUAAAGCUUAAACUAUUAGCGAUGUUUUCUCUCCUUUAAAAGGGCGCUAGAAUUUCGACGACCAGCAUCGGUGGAUCAACUGAGAUAGAAAGGUGAGUUGUUAUUGAUUUUCUCUCACCUUGUGAUAUAAAAGUUCGUGUUCACGAUCCAAUCAGGUGUGGAGAUAUAAAAGGAAUUAAAAGUCGAGGCUCCACCUGAUGUGAUUGAAGGAAAUUCUCAGUUUAGGCGAGCCUGCCUUUGGUUAGAGGAGAAGAGUGUUUAAGGAUAUACAGUUCAACUUCCUGGGCAACCACAGUUUCUUAUUGGUUGUUUCCAAAGGAUGAUGGCAUUAUGAGAGAGCUACUUUGGACUCUUAUAUUAGUUCGGACAAUUAGAAAACGAACUAGAUUAUUAUUUGAAUAUAAUUGUAAUUAGCUGUAUUGCAUGUUUUACUUCAAGAAUUGAAAAGUCUUUCCUGAGGUUAUGAGUACUGGAUAGUACGUGAAUUGCGGAGGAACAUUGUAAUCACGUAGUUGGAAGAUCAAGAUUGUGUCAUAGAAAUUUUAUGAUUUUGGCACGAUGUUUGAAAAGGUAGUACAUGAGCACGAGCAAGGCUUUGUUCAGAUGUUGCGUUCUAAAGUUUAUCGACAAAGGAAUUUAUUCAACUAAGUCUUCUAUUUAGGGAACUUCGAACUUUGGGAUUUUACUUAGAUUUAGUCACUUCCUUAAGUGACGGUUGGAGCUAUUUUCCUUAGACACCAGUUUAUUUAGAUUGAUACUGAUAUCGGAAAGUGUGAUCUUCACAGAUGGUAUUCUUUUCUUAUUUCAAAAAGAGUUAUUGGGAUGAAGGUCGAAAUCCUCAUUAAGUGUCGGGAGAUUUAGGAUAUUCUUGGUCUCAUUGAGGUUAUCAACUAUUGAUGGGCGAACUUACGGCUAUAGUGUUCUGCCUCACUUUUGAUCGAAGAAGUUGGUUUAGUGUGUGAUGUGAGUUGUGAAUAAAGAUCUCAGACGGUUUAAGUGUUGCCUUUUUCUUCAUAUGAUUUUUCCAUCCUUUGGUAACAGUGAGAAAUUUUGGAAUUUAAGGCGACGUCCUUUCUCGGAUGUUGGUUAAGUAAAUGCAUCGAGAUGGGGUAACACUUAUGCUUCCUAGCAGUGGAACCAAUAAAGAUGAAUUAUUUUAUGUGUGUUUGGAGGUAACAAUGGUCAUUUUUCAUUUAAAAAUGGUUGGGUACUUAUUUGUGGAGAAGUGUGUCCAAAAUCUUCAUUAACUUUGGAACUUUUUAAUUACACUUACUUUUGGACAGAGUAAGUUGCUGGCGGCAACAUUGGAAGGAUUAAAUCAACGCCUAUGAUUGCACUAUCGUGUAUUAUCCCGAUUGUGCAAACGUAAUUACUGAGCAUCGUAGCACAGAUGGUUUUUAUCCUAAGUAUUUUAGUCUCCCUCAUUUCAUUAUAGAUGAUCUCUUGAGUAUCAUUGCAACGUUAUUUGGAUUCUUCAAGAAAUUGUUUAAAUGGGUUACAUCACUUACCACAGCCAGAUGCAAACGGGAUAAUUACUAUAAGUUUUUAGUAAGAAGUAUUUUGGUACAUGUGGAAUGAUAGUGAUGCCUUGAUGUUUAGAGAUUGACUUGGCAAUCAGUCCAUUUUUUUUUUCCAUUAAUUCUGAGGGAGCUACAGUUGGAUCACUUAUUAAAAUUACCUUUUGUUGAAAUUAUUGGUUAGUUGGCAUUUUGGUCAACAUCAUUUAUGGUCAUGAGUUCAUAUUCAUUCCUUGUGCUAAGGGUGUAUUUGAUCAACUUUGAUUCAUGCCUACCCUGUUACAGUUCACACUAUUUUUAAGGACAGAUAGUCAUUCGAGAAGAAUUGCUUGGAUAUUGAAAUCUAGUUGGAAUCGUUAAUUCCUCAAUCACCUGUCGAUUACUCUGUGGAUUAGAUCAUUACCGUUGGUGAUUGAGUAUUCUGGAAGUUGUUUUUGGUAAGGGUAAAGACAACCAAUCAGUUGGAUAUCAGGAACUUUGAAUGUGAUGACCUUGUUUGGGGUUCUCGGAUUUUCGAGUAUGCUUUAACCUUCUUGACAUGAUUUUUCACUCAAUCGAUGAGUAAUUCGAUACGUUGUCUCGGCGAAGGCGUGCGCCAGUUUUAUAUCGAUGUGUACAAGAAAUUUUGAAGUACAAUCUCCUCAUGAGUUUAUUGGACUUACCAAAAAGGAAUUUCAUAUGGUAUUGAGAAUUGAAUGGAUUCAGCUGAGUAUUGGUGAAGGUAUGAAGCCUAGUAAUAUUGACGACACUUUCCAUGUAAGAUUGAGAUUACAAUUGUCGCUUGAGUGUUGUCGAGAAAGAUUUGGAUUCUUAAAUUUUGGAUUUCAGAGGUGAUAUUCUUGAUUUGGUGAACGAUGCUAGUGAAUAAUCGCGAAGGAAAUAUUUGAGGAUAUAUGUGUUCUUCUAUACACAUCUUUUCAGGACGUCAUUCCAGGACUUGAUAAUUUGGGGAGUACAUGGAUAUCAAAACACUCCUAAUAGUUAGAUCGAUGCGCUUGAAAAUUUUAUGAUGUUGUGAUCAAGACACGAAUCGGAUGAGUUGGACAUAAUUGCAUUCAAGGAGCAAGAUGAUUCUUACUAACUUAUUGAGACAACAUUGAACUAUCGACAUUACAGGCCGCAAACAGUAAUAUCUAUGGCUUAAUUUUGGGUUCUCUAAGCUAGUAGGCAAGACGGGUCAUCUUUAAUAGUAGUUACUCAUUAGAUAUAAUUCAGACUUAUUCUUGGAGUUCGUGUCAUGACAAAUGUUUGGCAAGGACCAUUUUCAUUUUGAAUCUUGAUUUUUGUGUGUAAGCAUCUUCUAUGAGACUAUUCUAUUUAUUUGAGUAUUUCUGAUUUUGCAAAUGUUGAGUGAGUUAUUUCUACUCUUGGUUUUAAGUUUGGCACAAGUAUUUGAACGGAAGGUUUCUAUAUUUAUAGUUGUUUUUUAUAUCCGUAAACUUUUCUUAAGCCAUUACGGGGUAAGUGAUAUUCUUACUUGACGGAUUUUGUGAAUGUUACAUUACUAUACUGACGAGGAAGGAAAAAGGUAUGAGCUUGGAGGCAUGAAAGAGGAAUAAUUGCAAUCCGAUCGCGACGGAAUGGCACUCUCUUUUAUGCAACCGCUCUAAAUUGAUCUCUUCCUUGUGUAAGUUUUUUUUAUAUAAUGGUACUCUUCUUAUUUUUGAGUAUUUUGCAUCUAGCAAGUUAUUUGAAAUUUCGGGGACGAAAUUUUUAAAGGGGGGAAGAUUGUGACAGCCCGUCCCGGAAAAUAUUGAUUUCUAUAAUUUUUUUUAAGUGAUUUUACGAAAUUGCCUUUCGAGACACGUGUGUUGACGGAGAUUAUUUACGGUGUCAUGACACCUAAACAUUUCUUUCUUGACCUAUCCUUGUAGUACUCGUCACUACGGACGUGUGGGCGCAAGCAAUUCGUGAUUUGGAGCUAUAGCGAAGGAGUUAUUAAAGUUUGAAAUUUGAUCAAUUUUAUUUAUUUCAGAAAAUAUGGAUUCUUCCUUUAUAAAAUCUGGUGUAUUUGGAUGGCCCAGAUUUAAAGAAGAAGAAAUGGAUGGUGCGGAUGGAAAGGAAAGAAAGGAAAGAAAGAAAAAAAAAAAAAAAAAGAGGUUGGGCAAACUGCCCAACCAGAGGGAGAGAUGCAGUAGCUCCAGGAGAGAAAGGAGGGAGCUGGCCGAAUUGGGAGGAGAGAGAGAGAGAGACUGACCAAUCGGAACAGGGAAGGGAGGAAAGGAGAGAGGGUGAGAAGCGGAGGAACAGAGAAGAAACGGGUUGAGGGAACCCGCAACCCGUGUUCAACCCGGUCGGCACCCGUGUGCAAUUUUUACGAUUUCCACCCAUUUUUCCGACGAAUUGAACCACCUAACCACUUGGGAAACACUCUAAGACCUAUCCUCUAUCCUUCCCACCCCAAAUUUGGUGAUAAUUGGCCUCCAAAUUAGCAAAAUCGCACCGUGGGUGCGAUGAACACUAGCCUUCGAUUCUCUCAAUUCUGAAAUGAUUUCUUUCAAUUGCCAGCACCCAUGGCAUCCUCUAGAGGCCUAGAACAAAGCCCAAGCAAUGGUUGGGACGGCGGAGUUGAUUUGAGGACGGAUUGAGCACACCCAAAACCUAGGGUUUCCGACGGGUUUUGUUGAAAUUGGAGGCCUU